AUUGAACGCUGGCGGCAGGCCUAACACAUGCAAGUCGAGCGGUAGAGAGAAGCUUGCUUCUCUUGAGAGCGGCGGACGGGUGAGUAAUGCCUAGGAAUCUGCCUGGUAGUGGGGGAUAACGUUCGGAAACGGACGCUAAUACCGCAUACGUCCUACGGGAGAAAGCAGGGGACCUUCGGGCCUUGCGCUAUCAGAUGAGCCUAGGUCGGAUUAGCUAGUUGGUGGGGUAAUGGCUCACCAAGGCGACGAUCCGUAACUGGUCUGAGAGGAUGAUCAGUCACACUGGAACUGAGACACGGUCCAGACUCCUACGGGAGGCAGCAGUGGGGAAUAUUGGACAAAGGGCGAAAGCCUGAUCCAGCCAUGCCGCGUGUGUGAAGAGGGUCUUCGGAUUGUAAAGCACUUUAAGUUGGGAGGAAGGGCAGUAAAUUAAUACUUUGCUGUUUUGACGUUACCGACAGAAUAAGCACCGGCUAACUCUGUG
RNAcentral lists this ribosomal RNA (484 nucleotides) under uncultured bacterium. RNAcentral describes it as "partial 16S ribosomal RNA". It matches the Rfam family "Bacterial small subunit ribosomal RNA", at positions 30 to 507 of the family's 1533-position model. The record is from RNAcentral.